Molecule: transfer RNA, 96 nt
Filed under: Grosmannia clavigera kw1407
Lineage: Eukaryota; Fungi; Ascomycota; Sordariomycetes; Ophiostomatales; Ophiostomataceae
Rfam family: tRNA
About the family: Transfer RNA (tRNA) molecules are approximately 80 nucleotides in length. Their secondary structure includes four short double-helical elements and three loops (D, anti-codon, and T loops).
Source: Rfam by way of RNAcentral
GCCAGUUUGGCCGAGUGGUUAAGGCGGUGGUCUUAAGCCCUAUAGUUUAAAACACCAUUAUCGAAAGAUUCACAGGUUCGAACCCUGUAGCUGGCA